RNAcentral lists this long non-coding RNA (531 nucleotides) under Serinus canaria (Common canary). RNAcentral's name for it is "lncRNA (ENSSCAG00000001533.1)". The record is from RNAcentral. Lineage: Eukaryota; Metazoa; Chordata; Aves; Passeriformes; Fringillidae.
AGGAUCUCUGUCUGUCAUGGACUUUCCUCAGGAUUAGAAAGGCACAAAAUCUGUUAAUGCCUCUCCCUGUGAGGAAGCCCAUCUGCAAGCAAGAUUUGGACACAACCCAGUUACAUUGGAGACCAAGAGAUUGGAGCCUAACUCAACAAAGUAGGACAUAGCACAAUGCACUGAGCUAGUGCCACAGAAUAUCUGAGUAUCCCACAUGUCCUGGAGAAAGAUCAACACCAAGCUGGUUGGAGAAGCCUUGCGUGCCUCAACUGGUGCAGUAAGUGUCAACUCAGCUUGCUAUCAGCCAUGGGAAUUUACAAGCUUUCCAACAAGACUGAAGAAAUCCAGGAAACCACAAUGACAGAUCCACUUGAAACAACCAUUUCAUGUUACUCUGACAGAUUUGCAGCUUCUUGGAUUUUUUUUUUUUAAACAUUGAGAAAAUUUGACUGAAGUUGGCUUAGAACAGUAAUGAGAUCCUGUUCAAAUGAAUGCUUUCUCUAAAGAUGUUGGAUUGUGUGCCUGUAAGUACCUGUAUGU